AAGUCCCGCAACGAGCGCAACCCUUGCCUUCAGUUGCCAUCGGGUAGGGCCGGGCACUCUGAAGGAACUGCCGGUGACAAGCCGGAGGAAGGUGGGGAUGACGUCAAGUCCUCAUGGCCCUUAUGGGCUGGGCUACACACGUGCUACAAUGGCGGUGACAAUGGGCAGCAACGGGGCGACCCUGAGCUAAUCUCCAAAAACCGUCUCAGUUCGGAUUGUACGCUGCAACUCGCGUGCAUGAAGGUGGAAUCGCUAGUAAUCGUGGAUCAGCAUGCCACGGUGAAUACGUUCCCGGGCCUU
Molecule: ribosomal RNA, 300 nt
Filed under: uncultured bacterium
Lineage: Bacteria
Description: bacterial SSU rRNA
Rfam family: Bacterial small subunit ribosomal RNA
Source: RNAcentral